This 253-nucleotide ribosomal RNA is filed under the name uncultured bacterium. RNAcentral's name for it is "partial 16S ribosomal RNA". It matches the Rfam family "Bacterial small subunit ribosomal RNA", at positions 524 to 776 of the family's 1533-position model. The record is from RNAcentral.
UACGUAGGGGGCGAGCGUUAUCCGGAUUUACUGGGCGUAAAGAGCGCGUAGGCGGUUCCGUAAGUUGGUUGUGAAAGUUCGAGGCUCAACCUCGAAACUGCGUCCAAUACUGCGGGGCUGGAGUGCAAGAGAGGCAAGUGGAAUUUGCAGUGUAGUAGUGAAAUGCGUAGAUAUUGCAAGGAACACCAGUGGCGAAGGCGGCUUGCUAGCUUGUAACUGACGCUGAGGCGCGAAAGCUAGGGGAGCGAACGGG